This 1551-nucleotide unclassified non-coding RNA is filed under the name Cyanidioschyzon merolae strain 10D. RNAcentral's name for it is "hypothetical transcript". The record is from RNAcentral. Lineage: Eukaryota; Rhodophyta; Bangiophyceae; Cyanidiales; Cyanidiaceae.
ACGGUCUUUCGGAGCUAGCCCCAGUCAACAGAAUCCUAGCAACGUCUUCGUGAGCUCUGGGCUUUCAAGACCGCCCUGGAGACGAAGCCGAGCACUUAACGAACCACGAAGCAACACUUUUAGCGCGCCUGCAUCGGGACUCGUCAGGCGUUCAGCUCACCGGGACAGGCGUCUCUUGGUACGUGUCGGGUAUGCGUCUGCUGCGACCCUGCUGCACGCUGCCUGCUCGCUUCGCGUACCUCAGGUUCGACGUCGACUUUGCGGUGCCCGUGAGACUUGAGCCUUAUCAAAUCCAAGCGCUCAUUCAAACAGCCUUGCGAAGCCUAUGUGGUCAGAUUGGAAGCGCGAACCUCUUGGUAGACUUGUUGGAGUGGGAGUCCAACGAAACUCGCUUACCCUAUGUGAACUGUAUUCAGCGCAUCGGGUCAGGUCUCUUGAGAACCGAGUCGGAAACUGCAGCGAUGGUAUGGGCAGCUCUAACCAUUCUAUCUUCCUUCGAUAAUAAAGCAUGCCGAGUUCUCGUGAAAGAGGCUGCGCAUUUCCCUCUGGCACUGAGCCCUGGAGCGUAAGCCACGACGCGUAUUGCGCAAAAUCGUCGGGCCGCUUCUCGGGAUGUUCCACCAGGCAUCCCUGGUGUACAGGAUGCUGACAACCAGACAACGCAUUCGCACAAGUAUACACGAUCAGCGAAUCAGCGGCUAGAUCGUGCUGCAGGAAGGCGUCGAGUUCUCGUGUCGCGUAGAACUGCACGCAGUUGACGCCACACACUGUCUGCGUCGAAGCAGCCCAUACCACUUACUGAAUGGCGUCGCGCUCGAUAUACCGUUUCUACCGGUGAAACAGGAAGGCACUAUACUGUAAUAACUAGAGCGCGGAUCCAUGAAGUGCGUUCUCUACAGAAAAUACCAUCGCGCGAGGCAUUUUCGUUGCGCUCCGGACAUGAAGGUAUUCCGUUCUUUCGAGAUAGCCUGGGUCCAGCCCUCGCAUCUAUAUGAUGGCCUCGCUUUGCAGGAGACACCAACUGGGUCUUGCUGGAGCUGUUCGGCCGCGGAAUUUCUCGUGCCGUUGCGUUGCUACACUGUUCGUGCGUCAUGCAUGAAACAUCCCGGGAAAGCUUGUUCCUCAAUGGAAUCAGGUCAAUGAAUAUAAGACCAAGCCCUGGAUCCUCUGUUGCGAUAAGCAGGCAUGCACGAGACCUCCGUUCCUCCAAGAGUAUGAUUAGGCUAGGGGUGCUAAAGCGACGAGCGAUCGAGGCAGUGUGCGAAUCUGGCGAACCCGGUGACACUGGCAUACAUUUCAGUGUUCGCGUUUGCUACACCAGCGUCGGAUCAAAGUGUUACACCGAAGUGCUCGCGCUAUGCCAGCCUUGAGCAGCUUCCUCGAAAUUUUGGUUGAUGUAUAGUCUCCAUAUUUGAAGUGGAAUCAUUCCUGGAUGAAACAUUUACGCCAAGGUCUAGGUUGCUCGACUGUCUGUUCGGAGUGAAACCUUCGACGCCUUGCUGCCCCUGAACUUUGGAAGGUCGUAGUUGACGGAAUGUAGCGGGAUUCGAA